AAAAAUACAAAUCCUGGGUUUCUUUGUCCAACGUUUGACUGUCCGUCUUAUUUGAAAAAAUUAUGAAAAAAAAAUUAAAAGACAAGUCACGCAUAAAGUAUUAAUCAUGUUUUAUUAUCUAACAACAAUGAAAAUACUAAUUAUAAAAAAAUUUCAUAUAAGACGGACAGUCAAACGUUGGAUACGGAAACCCAAGAUUUGUCUUUUU
Oryza glumipatula is the source of this 208-nucleotide non-coding RNA. Lineage: Eukaryota; Viridiplantae; Streptophyta; Magnoliopsida; Poales; Poaceae. The record is from Rfam.